UAGUCCGGCAGGCUCGGGGACGCCGGGUCGGAUCGGGUUGCGCUUGGGGUAUCAGACUGAAGGUGCACCGGGAGCCAGCGGCGGCGGCGGCGUCUACGCGGUCACCGAUGUCUCGAUCGCGACGCGGUCGGCGUAGAGGACGUCCUCCGUCUUCUCGGCCUCCUCCCACAGCUCCGGCAGCGCCUCCCUGAUGUUGUGGAUGCUCUCCAGCGCGUGAUCCGCGCCCUUCACCCGGUGUGACGUGCCAACCAGCACCGUGUGGAGGCCAAUUCGCUUGCCUGCCUGAAUGUUGCGCACGCUGUCGUCGAAGAAAAUC
Molecule: long non-coding RNA, 316 nt
Filed under: Hordeum vulgare
Lineage: Eukaryota; Viridiplantae; Streptophyta; Magnoliopsida; Poales; Poaceae
Description: long non-coding RNA (HVUL_LNC010625)
Source: RNAcentral